AAAAGAAACCAACAGGGAUUGCCCUAGUAACGGCGAGUGAAGCGGCAACAGCUCAAAUUUGAAAUCUGGCCCCCUCGGGGCCCGAGUUGUAAUUUGUAGAGGGUGCUUUGGCGUUGGCUGUGGUCUAAGUUCCUUGGAACAGGACGUCACAGAGGGUGAGAAUCCCGUACGUGGCCGCCAGCCUCCGCCGUGUAAAGCCCCUUCGACGAGUCGAGUUGUUUG
RNAcentral lists this ribosomal RNA (222 nucleotides) under uncultured fungus. RNAcentral describes it as "partial 28S ribosomal RNA". It matches the Rfam family "Eukaryotic large subunit ribosomal RNA", at positions 57 to 276 of the family's 3401-position model. Lineage: Eukaryota; Fungi. The record is from RNAcentral.